RNAcentral lists this ribosomal RNA (254 nucleotides) under uncultured bacterium. RNAcentral's name for it is "partial 16S ribosomal RNA". It matches the Rfam family "Bacterial small subunit ribosomal RNA", at positions 524 to 777 of the family's 1533-position model. The record is from RNAcentral.
CACGUAGGGCGCAAGCGUUGUCCGGAAUUAUUGGGCGUAAAGAGCUCGUAGGCGGUCUGUUACGUCUGCUGUGAAAACCCAGGGCUUAACCCUGGGCUUGCAGUGGAUACGGGCAGACUAGAGGCAGGUAGGGGAGAAUGGAAUUCCCGGUGUAGCGGUGAAAUGCGCAGAUAUCUGGAGGAACACCGGUGGCGAAGGCGGCAUCCUGGACCGGUAUUGACGCUGAGGAGCGAAAGCCAGGGGAGCAAAGCGGG